Molecule: unclassified non-coding RNA, 241 nt
Filed under: uncultured fungus
Lineage: Eukaryota; Fungi
Description: partial contains 5.8S ribosomal RNA, internal transcribed spacer 2, and large subunit ribosomal RNA
Source: RNAcentral
AACGCACAUUGCGCCCCUUGGUAUUCCGGGGGGCAUGCCUCUUCCAGCGUCAUUUCACCCCUCAAGCUUUGCUUGGUCUUGAGCCGCGCCGGCAACGGCAGGCUUUAAAAAUAGUGGCGGCGCCAUCGUGCUCUCAGCGUAGUAAUUCUUCUCGCUGUUGGGUCCCGGUGGACGUGCGCCAGCAACCCCCAAUAUUUUUACGUUUGACCUGGGAUGAGGUAGGGAUACCCGCUGAACUUAA